Long non-coding RNA from Oncorhynchus keta (chum salmon), 551 nucleotides. RefSeq lists it as uncharacterized. The transcript is spliced from 3 exons. The record is from RefSeq and is a predicted model, not a curated record. NCBI's taxonomy places the organism in Eukaryota, Metazoa, Chordata, Actinopteri, Salmoniformes, Salmonidae.
AGGCCAACACAACAUGGCCAUCCAAUCAAUGUCCCUGAUUCCAGGUCAGUUGAAGAGGCCAACACAACAUGGCCAUCCAAUCAAUGUCCCUGAUUCCAGGUCAGUUGAAGAGGCCAACACAACAUGGCCAUCCAAUCAAUGUCCCUGAUUCCAGGUCAGUUGAAGAGGCCAACACAACAUGGCCAUCCAAUCAAUGUCCCUGAUUCCAGGUCAGUUGAAGAGGCCAACACAACAUGGCCAUCCAAUCAAUGUCCCUGAUUCCAGGUCAGUUGAAGAGGCCAACACAACAUGGCCAUCCAAUCAAUGUCCCUGAUUCCAGGUCAGUUGAAGAGGCCAACACAACAUGGCCAUCCAAUCAAUGUCCCUGAUUCCAGGUCAGUUGAAGAGGCCAACACAACAUGGCCAUCCAAUCAAUGUCCCUGAUUCCAGGUCAGUUGAAGAGGCCAACACAACAUGGCCAUCCAAUCAAUGUCCCUGAUUCCAGGUCAGUUGAAGAGGCCAACACAACAUGGCCAUCCAAUCAAUGUCCCUGAUUCCAGGUCAGUUGAAGA